RNAcentral lists this transfer RNA (74 nucleotides) under Crassvirales sp. Its description in RNAcentral is "tRNA-Arg". It matches the Rfam family "tRNA". From Rfam's summary of the family: Transfer RNA (tRNA) molecules are approximately 80 nucleotides in length. The record is from RNAcentral. Lineage: Duplodnaviria; Heunggongvirae; Uroviricota; Caudoviricetes; Crassvirales.
GGCUCUUUAACUUACUAGGAUAGAGCAACAGCCUUCUAAGCUGUAAGUUAUAAGUUCGAAUCUUAUAAGGGCCA